This 491-nucleotide ribosomal RNA is filed under the name uncultured bacterium. RNAcentral describes it as "bacterial SSU rRNA". It matches the Rfam family "Bacterial small subunit ribosomal RNA", at positions 28 to 507 of the family's 1533-position model. The record is from RNAcentral.
GAUGAACGCUAGCUACAGGCUUAACACAUGCAAGUCGAGGGGCAGCAUGAUUGAAGCUUGCUUCAAUUGAUGGCGACCGGCGCACGGGUGAGUAACACGUAUCCAACCUUCCGUACACUCAGGGAUAGCCUUUCGAAAGAAAGAUUAAUACCUGAUGGUAUCUUAAGCACACAUGUAAUUAAGAUUAAAGAUUUAUCGGUGUACGAUGGGGAUGCGUUCCAUUAGGUAGUAGGCGGGGUAACGGCCCACCUAGCCUACGAUGGAUAGGGGUUCUGAGAGGAAGGUCCCCCCACAUUGGAACUGAGACACGGUCCAAACUCCUACGGGAGGCAGCAGUGAGGAAUAUUGGUCAAUGGACGAGAGUCUGAACCAGCCAAGUAGCGUGAAGGAUGAAGGUCCUACGGAUUGUAAACUUCUUUUAUACGGGAAUAAAGUAUCCUACGUGUAGGAUUUUGUAUGUACCGUAUGAAUAAGCAUCGGCUAACUCCGUG